RNAcentral lists this ribosomal RNA (253 nucleotides) under uncultured bacterium. RNAcentral describes it as "partial 16S ribosomal RNA". It matches the Rfam family "Bacterial small subunit ribosomal RNA", at positions 524 to 776 of the family's 1533-position model. The record is from RNAcentral.
UACAGAGGGGGCAAGCGUUGUUCGGAAUUACUGGGCGUAAAGGGCGCGUAGGCGGCCCGCUAAGUCGAACGUGAAAUCCCCGAGCUCAACUCGGGAACUGCGUCCGAUACUGGCGGGCUUGAAUCCGGGAGAGGGAUGCGGAAUUCCAGGUGUAGCGGUGAAAUGCGUAGAUAUCUGGAGGAACACCGGUGGCGAAGGCGGCAUCCUGGACCAACACUGACGCUGAGGCGCGAAAGCUAGGGGAGCAAACGGG